RNAcentral lists this long non-coding RNA (447 nucleotides) under Anser brachyrhynchus (Pink-footed goose). RNAcentral's name for it is "lncRNA (ENSABRG00000020404.1)". The record is from RNAcentral. Lineage: Eukaryota; Metazoa; Chordata; Aves; Anseriformes; Anatidae.
UGGGUCUCAGGAUGCAGUGAGUAGCUGAUGUCAUGGUUCAGCAGGCUGUCAGUGGCCUGGGACUGUCCUGCAUGACUUUUGCUUCUGCUGUGUUAUCCAGCCUCAAUUCUGCCUACUUUUUAUCCUGCAUGGCUUGGAACUGGAAUCUGUCAUCACUGGCCUCUGCUUGGUGUUUGUUUCAGGAAAGCAUCUGUGGUGUUCCUUAAGUGCAGUACUGUCAGGUGAGGACUAAGUGGAAGAAGAGCACUUCUGUCAUCACCUCUGCUGUGCGCACCAUCCAUCAGCCCCUGUGUCAGUACCUGGGAAUUUAGGCAUCCUCAGGAAGUUCAGGUUUUGUCCAAAGUGCAGCUCCCGUCUCUGUUCUAGAGCUCAUCCUCCAGAGAGCCUGCUCUUCACAGCUCCGCUUGACCCCGGGCUGUGAAGCACUUUCAACAGCACAGAGAAGCC